RNAcentral lists this ribosomal RNA (1343 nucleotides) under uncultured bacterium. RNAcentral describes it as "16S ribosomal RNA". It matches the Rfam family "Bacterial small subunit ribosomal RNA", at positions 28 to 1378 of the family's 1533-position model. The record is from RNAcentral.
GACGAACGCUGGCGGCGUGCUUAACACAUGCAAGUCGAACGGAAAGGCCCUGCUUUUGUGGGGUGCUCGAGUGGCGAACGGGUGAGUAACACGUGAGUAACCUGCCCUUGACUUUGGGAUAACUUCAGGAAACUGGGGCUAAUACCGGAUAGGAGCUCCUGCUGCAUGGUGGAGGUUGGAAAGUUUCGGCGGUUGGGGAUGGACUCGCGGCUUAUCAGCUUGUUGGUGGGGUAGUGGCUUACCAAGGCUUUGACGGGUAGCCGGCCUGAGAGGGUGACCGGCCACAUUGGGACUGAGAUACGGCCCAGACUCCUACGGGAGGCAGCAGUGGGGAAUAUUGCACAAUGGGCGGAAGCCUGAUGCAGCAACGCCGCGUGCGGGAUGACGGCCUUCGGGUUGUAAACCGCUUUCGCCUGUGACGAAGCGUGAGUGACGGUAAUGGGUAAAGAAGCACCGGCUAACUACGUGCCAGCAGCCGCGGUGAUACGUAGGGUGCGAGCGUUGUCCGGAUUUAUUGGGCGUAAAGGGCUCGUAGGUGGUUGAUCGCGUCGGAAGUGUAAUCUUGGGGCUUAACCCUGAGCGUGCUUUCGAUACGGGUUGACUUGAGGAAGGUAGGGGAGAAUGGAAUUCCUGGUGGAGCGGUGGAAUGCGCAGAUAUCAGGAGGAACACCAGUGGCGAAGGCGGUUCUCUGGGCCUUUCCUGACGCUGAGGAGCGAAAGCGUGGGGAGCGAACAGGCUUAGAUACCCUGGUAGUCCACGCUGUAAACGGUGGGUACUAGGUGUGGGGUCCAUUCCACGGGUUCCGUGCCGUAGCUAACGCUUUAAGUACCCCGCCUGGGGAGUACGGCCGCAAGGCUAAAACUCAAAGGAAUUGACGGGGCCCCGCACAAGCGGCGGAGCAUGCGGAUUAAUUCGGUGCAACGCGUAGAACCUUACCUGGGUUUGACAUGGAUCGGGAGCGCUCAGAGAUGGGUGUGCCUCUUUUGGGGUCGGUUCACAGGUGGUGCAUGGCUGUCGUCAGCUCGUGUCGUGAGAUGUUGGGUUAAGUCCCGCAACGAGCGCAACCCUUGUUCACUGUUGCCAGCACGUUAUGGUGGGGACUCAGUGGAGACCGCCGGGGUCAACUCGGAGGAAGGUGGGGAUGACGUCAAGUCAUCAUGUCCCUUAUGUCCAGGGCUUCACGCAUGCUACAAUGGCUGGUACAGAGAGUGGCGAGCCUGUGAGGGUGAGCGAAUCUCGGAAAGCCGGUCUCAGUUCGGAUUGGGGUCUGCAACUCGACCUCAUGAAGUCGGAGUCGCUAGUAAUCGCAGAUCAGCAACGCUGCGGUGAAUACGUUCCCGGG